GGUUUCUCAAUGUUGGUCAGGCUGGUCUCAAACUCCUGACCUCAGGUGAUCCGCCCGCCUCGACCUCCCAAAGUGCUGGGAUUACAGGCGUGAGCCACCGCGCCCGGUCUGGCUUCACUUCUUUAAGCAGUCACCCUGUGCUAGACAACUGACAUUCCGCGUUGUGUUUAUUGUUUAUUGCCUGUCCCCUCUGUGUCAGCUUCCUGAGGCAGUGACUUUGCUCAUCCUUGUCCCUGCUGUAUCGCCGGUGCCCAACUCGGUAUCUAGCACACGUGUGGGACUUGCUCGAGGACUCACUGCUGGCCUUGGGGAGCAGAGAACCCAGGUCUCUGUGAUUCCGAAGUCCAGGUUCUUCCACCUGCAACUGCAGUUUCCAGAAUUGGUCCCACCCCAGGAGGAUCAGCCAGUGGGGCUGUCUUCUUGUGCUUCUGCUAUGAGAAGAUCGUCCCCCUGAAUGGCUGCCGGCCCUUCAGCCUCGCCCCGCCAAGCGACACAUGGAACAGCCAGAGCCCAGCCUAGAGCCUGUAUCCCAGCCUAGCCUGAGGCAGAGCUGCCCAGCGAAGACCAACUGACCUUCAGCUAACCUGCAGAUGCAUCGGGGGAAUUAAAUGAUUGUUCUAAGCCACUGAGUUUUGGGGUGGUUUGUUAUGUGGCAUUAUUGCAGUGGUAGCUAAUACAAGCCCGGUAUCACUCUACAACUCUUGGACUCUGAGCUGCAU
Molecule: long non-coding RNA, 719 nt
Organism: Symphalangus syndactylus (siamang)
Lineage: Eukaryota; Metazoa; Chordata; Mammalia; Primates; Hylobatidae
Source: RefSeq, a predicted model, not a curated record